UACGAAGGGGGCUAGCGUUGCUCGGAAUUACUGGGCGUAAAGGGUGCGUAGGCGGGUCUUUAAGUCAGGGGUGAAAUCCUGGGGCUCAACUCCAGAACUGCCUUUGAUACUGGCGAGCUUGAGUUCGGGAGAGGUGAGUGGAACUGCGAGUGUAGAGGUGAAAUUCGUAGAUAUUCGCAAGAACACCAGUGGCGAAGGCGGCUCACUGGCCCGAUACUGACGCUGAGGUGCGAAAGCGUGGGGAGCAAACAGG
RNAcentral lists this ribosomal RNA (253 nucleotides) under uncultured bacterium. Its description in RNAcentral is "partial 16S ribosomal RNA". It matches the Rfam family "Bacterial small subunit ribosomal RNA", at positions 524 to 776 of the family's 1533-position model. The record is from RNAcentral.